This 809-nucleotide long non-coding RNA is filed under the name Struthio camelus australis. RNAcentral describes it as "lncRNA (ENSSCUG00000012447.1)". Lineage: Eukaryota; Metazoa; Chordata; Aves; Struthioniformes; Struthionidae. The record is from RNAcentral.
AUAGCAAAGGAUCAAUAUAUAAAAGUAGUGGGAACUUGCAUGCUGAACAAAAUCUAGGUGUGCCAGAGUUUGGUUUUGAUAGGAUUAAACUCAAAAAGAGAUUGUUCACUGCAUCCUGUAGCAGCAUUUUAGUGUUGUGUUUUUUUUUUUAACAGUUAUUAUUGUGAACACUUUGGAUUCAGAUCUUCAGCUGCUGUAAAUUUUUGGUUCUUUAUUGAUGUCUCCAAGAGAAUAGUGAUUUGCAUCAGCUGAAUGGAUGGCCUUCUAGGUGGAUGCAUUUUUGUGGUGUCUUUUGGCUUGUUUUGGUCACCUUCCAGGUACUGGAGCAACAUAGCUGAGUUGUGGGUUGACUUACGCUUGCAUCACUACCCUGAACCUGAUUGUGUCUGCAGUCAUCUGGAACUGACUACAUGCCUAGACUGAUAAAACAUGCCGUGCAAACAUGAAUCUCUCUGAGGCCAUGGCAAGAUGCUUUUGCAGUAUCCUGUCCCUCUAUUGCCUGGACUUCUGGAAGACAGGAGAGUGAGAAUCAGCGGUGAUUGUUUUCCUACCGGCGCAGUUUGAGAACUACUUUGACAGCCAAUAGAACAGGAACUACCUUGCAGUGUUGCCACCGCAAGUGCAUGCUCUUUCUGACAGUGUAUGAUUGCGCUGUGUCCGCAGCGGGGAAUGAUGCCAGAAUUGCCGUCUAAUCAUCCAUAUUCUUUUCUCAUACUGUAACCAAGUUGUUUUCCAAAAACGUUCAUGCAAAAAUGCAAAGAUUCUCCACGUAGAAUAAAGUAGGCCUAUAGGGCCUAAGGAAGGGCUGG